Long non-coding RNA from Triticum dicoccoides, 2017 nucleotides. RefSeq lists it as uncharacterized. The record is from RefSeq and is a predicted model, not a curated record. NCBI's taxonomy places the organism in Eukaryota, Viridiplantae, Streptophyta, Magnoliopsida, Poales, Poaceae. The transcript has 8 exons.
UGAAGCAGUUGGUGAAUAGUCCACGCGGUUUAUUUUCGCUGGUUUAUUUUCGUCAUCCCCACCACCGUUUUUUUUAUCAUCAUCCCAUCUCUGCCGAAAAACCUUUGCCAAAAAAAACGUCAUGCCCAGAGCAGAUCGAUCUCCGCCGCCGAUCAGCCUUCGCACGCCCGAUCCAUCCCGGUGCCCCGGCCGAUCCACCCCUACGCCCCCUCCGCGGCCGAUCCAAACCUUCGCCGUCGCGCUAGCAGGAGGCGGCUAUCUGCUGUGGGAUCGGGCGAGGUGACGCCGGCGAUCACGACCCCGAUCCGACGGCGACCCCCUUCUGCUCUUCUCCCUCUCCUCUAGGGUUUUGGUGCCGCCAUCUCCGCACUUCCAGAAAGAGAUCGGGAGAGGCUGAGCCCAGAGCUAGAUGAAGGAGAAGAGAAUGUCCAUGGAUCAUUAAGGGGCGGCGGCGACACGAGGCUGAUGAAGGUGUUUGUAGGUGGCCUGGCGUGGGAGACGAGCAAGGAGGGCGUGCGCGUCCACUUCGAACGCUUCAGCGAGAUCCUCGAGGCCGUCGUCAUCGUCGACAAGGGCACCGGCAGAUCCAAGGGCAACAGAUUCUCCUGUUAGUUGAUGCUAAGCCUGAAUGGAUGCUUGGUAAGUUACGUUCUGGAGGCGGAGGCGGCCAUCAAGACAUGGUGAAUGGCGUCCAGAGGGCCAACUGCAACCUAGCUCGCCUACCUUGGGAUCCAGAGGUCCAAGGCACCACAACCAACUGCCUCUAAAUCCAUAUUCUGGUUUAUUUCAGUUUAGUGUGGUAAUCGGCAACAACCAAGUUAACAAAUCUUAACUGAAGGUGGUGUAGCAAGCAAGCAAGAAUUGGAGAGUCUUCGGUGCAUGCUUGGAGAAGAGGCUAAGAUGAGAGGCUUCAAUCUGGAGAUGACAAGGAUAGUCACCUGGUGCAACUAAAGGUGUCAAGUAGUUGGCCAUUUGGCGGAAGUCAGGUCCAGGGGGAGACUCCGGUGUCCAGGAACUCUGCCCAGGAAAGACGUCAAUCAUAAGUUCCAGGUGCUCAGGCAAGUAGUAACAUACAAGGCCCACGAUGGAAGAGAUGGCGUUCCCAGAGAUGUGAAUCACAUGGGUGCGGCAUCAAGAAUGGAAAUUACCGAAACUCUUUCUACAGUCUUCGGUGCAUGCUUGGAGAAGAGGCUAAGAUGAGAGGCUUCAAUCUGGAGAUGACAAGGAUAGUCACCUGGUGCAACUAAAGGUUCGGUUUCAUACUUGUCAAGUUGUGAUGAUAUUCUUCAGGUGGUACUCCCUGACUGAUUUCACUUGUACUAUUGCUUCACAGAAGGUACUAAAAUAUCUUGUCAUGCUAAUAUUUAAUUUCUAGUGAUACUUUGUGAAAAUACUCAGUUUCUUAUACUAAAAUAUACAUGUUUACUUUUGUACUGAAAUGUACCUUCUUACAAAGAUUUCAUAGGAAGGAGGAGGUUAAGGGAGCAAAAGGCAUGUGGAGACAAGAGCCAGCUCAAGGAGAAGUUAACCCAUAAAUUACUUAAAUAAUAAUUUAAUAAACCUCUAAUUUACCUACAGAAUAAAAGGCCUAUGAUGAAAGAAUAGCAUCCAGAAAAAAAUACAACUAGAUAACGGUUGUAACAACAAGAAAAUAUAUGACCAAGAACAUAACUGAAGAAGUGUGAUUAAGGGGGAGCUUUGGAAUAGAUAAAAGCAGUCUCAAGCACCAAUAGGAUAUGAAAAUAGCAAUGCUCAUCCAGACUCAUCUGUUUGGUUCUAACAGUUGCAUAACUCUAGGGGUCCCUAACGGCUCUGUACAUCCCAGUCAUAGUGAAAUUUCAGUUUUCAGUUCACAAACAUCUUUCAGAGAAGUAACAUUACCACACAUGGCCAUUGCUAAACUGAAAAUGAACAUGAGGAUUGUCCAAGGUUCCACCAAAUACACAAACGACACCUGAACAGGUGCGGAAGGGCACAGAUCAGUAUGGCCCGUGUGGGGUUCGGGGAUUACCAUUUU